RNAcentral lists this ribosomal RNA (285 nucleotides) under uncultured Peptoniphilus sp. Its description in RNAcentral is "partial 16S ribosomal RNA". It matches the Rfam family "Bacterial small subunit ribosomal RNA", at positions 82 to 356 of the family's 1533-position model. Lineage: Bacteria; Bacillati; Bacillota; Tissierellia; Tissierellales; Peptoniphilaceae. The record is from RNAcentral.
GGGGCGAAGAUAAGACGGAUUAGCGGCGGACGGGUGAGUAACACGUGAGUAACCUGCCUUUUACACAGGGAUAGCCUCGGGAAACCGGGNUUAAAACCUGAUGAAACUAUCAAAUCACAUGAUUAAGAAAGUUAAAACUCCGGUGGUAAAAGAUGGACUCGCGUCCCAUUAGCUAGUUGGUGAAGGUAACGGCCCACCAAGGCAACGAUGGGUAGCCGGCCUGAGAGGGUGAACGGCCACAUUGGAACUGAGAAACGGUCCAAACUCCUACGGGAGGCAGCAGCG